This 489-nucleotide ribosomal RNA is filed under the name uncultured bacterium. Its description in RNAcentral is "bacterial SSU rRNA". It matches the Rfam family "Bacterial small subunit ribosomal RNA", at positions 28 to 526 of the family's 1533-position model. The record is from RNAcentral.
GACGAACGCUGGCGGCGCGCUUAACACAUGCAAGUCGAACGGGAUCCAUUUGGAGCUUGCUCCGGGGGGAUCUAGUGGCGGACGGGUGAGUAACACGUGAGCAACCUGCCUUUCAGAGGGGGAUAACGUCUGGAAACGGACGCUAAUACCGCAUAACAUCCCGGUAUGGCAUCAUGCUGGGAUCAAAGGAGAAAUCCGCUGGAAGAUGGGCUCGCGCCCGAUUAGGUAGUUGGUGGGGUAAAGGCCUACCAAGCCUGCGAUCGGUAGCCGGACUGAGAGGUUGAUCGGCCACAUUGGGACUGAGACACGGCCCAGACUCCUACGGGAGGCAGCAGUGGGGAAUAUUGCACAAUGGGGGAAACCCUGAUGCAGCGACGCCGCGUGAGUGAAGACGGCCUUCGGGUUGUAAAGCUCUGUUGUGGGGGACGAUAAUGACGGUACCCCACUAGAAAGCCACGGCUAACUACGUGCCAGCAGCCGCCGUAACAC